CUACGGGACGCAGCAGGUACGAAAACUUUCCAAUUGCUUAACGGCUGAGAAGGGAACCUUGAGUGACCAUGCAUUGCAUGGUCUUUUCUUUAACCUAAAAAGUUAGAGGAAUAAGUGGUGGGUAAGACAGGUGCCAGCCGCCGCGGUAAUACCUGCGCCACAAAUAGUGAUCACGAUUAUUGGGUCUAAAGCGUCCGUAGCCGGUUUAGCAAGUUCCUGGUGAAAUCUGGCAGCAAACUGUCAGGCAUGCUGGGAAUACUACUAGACUUGAGAUCGGGAGAGGGUGGAGGUAUUCCAUGAGUAGGGGUUAAAUCCUUUAAUUCAUGGGGGACCACCGGUGGCGAAGGCGUCCACCUGGAACGAGUCUGACGGUGAGGGACGAAAGCGUGGGGAGCAAAACGGAUUAGAUACCCCUGUAGUC
Molecule: ribosomal RNA, 421 nt
Filed under: uncultured archaeon
Lineage: Archaea
Description: partial 16S ribosomal RNA
Rfam family: Archaeal small subunit ribosomal RNA
Source: RNAcentral